GCAGCUUCCGGGCGGCGUGUCCGCCCCGGUCCAGGACUGGACAGCGGGCCCCGCUACCGCCGGGGCUCCGCCGCCGGGCGAGCAGGCCCCGCGAGGCGGCAGGUGGAAGAGAGAGCCGUCGGCCAAGUCUGGGUCAAACCUCUCCAUCGUCAACCCACUGCAGGUGCUGAGACAGCGGCUUUUGCUGGAGAUCGUGAGACGCCGCAUGCGCCAGAAACAGACUCAGAUCAACGUGAAUUCAGAGUUUCUGCACGAAAUAGGAAAACGGCAUGCUGAGCAGCUAUACGGGCGGGAUCUCUACCAGCGACGACACAUUUCAAACUUACGGCAACCCACGCCAGCCCGAUGAAAAUUGAGCGCCAGCAUGGCGACAAGUUGUGAAAAACAGGUCGUGUCCUGAUGAUCUCAAGACUCACUCAGCCAAUAGUAUAUGGGCAUCGUAUCAGUAUUUUCGUCCCAUCUCCAAUAUAUGUAUAUAUACAUAUAUGUAUAUUCCGAAGGCCUAUUUUGCUACUUAACUCGGUAUUAGUUCAGAUCCUUCAAGCUAGGCGACUGAAAUCACUUGUUUUGUUGUAACUCCCGCCGAGUCCCCCGCGAGCAUUUGUCAAGGGCGGAACGUGCUGGAGAGGAAACAGCCACAACUCGUGGGUUGCAUCAAUUAACAUUUGCUUCUGCGUUGUGUGCCGGUGCGAACUCUCCUGGCCUACCGGUUAAGGCGUCAUAACAGCUCACUAUGGAAUAACUAUGAUGCGUUAUCAGGUCUGUGUGGGGUCCUUACGGGUAAGGCGAAGUGUCGUCAGGUAUCAAUUAUUUUGGCCCUACGAAACGACACGCAGGCUUUGUCCAAGACAUUCAGGAUUGGGUUGGCUCUGGACGCGCUCAGGCAGAGCGCCGCAUUUUUGGGCAGGGUGGAUAUCUGCACAGAUAAGAACGCGCCGCUCUUUGGGCGGGCCGCCAUUCUCAUGGCGUAUAUUUAUUGCUAUCAUUUGUGUCCCGAGUAUCGCUAGUCUGCUGUAUGGACAUGUCUCUGUAUAUCAUGUGCUUUGAUUUCAGGAAAUACAAUAUAGUAAUAGCAAAUACUUUUUCCGCGAUACCGUAGCAUAACGCAAAAACUGGCGCGUGACUGCUGGUGGAAUCAAUAAACCAUGCCUGGCUCCCAGUUCACCUUCGGGAUCCGUGUAUGCUCAUAUCUUGUCCGACCUGUCAUAUCCCAGACGCAUGUCUGGCUUAGCUAUAUUCAUCGAGAAAUACAUCAGG
Long non-coding RNA from Pollicipes pollicipes, 1257 nucleotides. RefSeq lists it as uncharacterized. The record is from RefSeq and is a predicted model, not a curated record. The transcript is spliced from 5 exons. NCBI's taxonomy places the organism in Eukaryota, Metazoa, Arthropoda, Thecostraca, Pollicipedomorpha, Pollicipedidae.